Podarcis lilfordi (Lilford's wall lizard) is the source of this 76-nucleotide non-coding RNA. The record is from the annotation of a GenBank genome assembly. Lineage: Eukaryota; Metazoa; Chordata; Lepidosauria; Squamata; Lacertidae.
CCUCCUGUGACGCAAAGGGUCCGUGAGUCUGGCUGUUAACCAGAAGGUUGGUGGUUCGAGCCCACCCACGGGUGGC